UAAAAUACUAGGGAAAAUGCCAGCUACA
RNAcentral lists this non-coding RNA (28 nucleotides) under Mus musculus (house mouse). Lineage: Eukaryota; Metazoa; Chordata; Mammalia; Rodentia; Muridae. The record is from RNAcentral.